This is an RNA transcript of Eleginops maclovinus (Patagonian blennie), 4451 nucleotides long. It is a transcript of the gene named ArfGAP with coiled-coil, ankyrin repeat and PH domains 1, with no coding region annotated. Lineage: Eukaryota; Metazoa; Chordata; Actinopteri; Perciformes; Eleginopidae. The record is from RefSeq and is a predicted model, not a curated record. The transcript is spliced from 23 exons.
GUGAGUGUCAGGAGCGAGAGAGAGAGAGAGAGAGUACUCCAGUCUCUGGAAGAAGGAACAUCAACCGGUUUCCAUCUGAUUUAAUCUUAUUUAUUUGGGAAUACACACCUUUAUCGAUCAAUAAGGAUAGUUGCUUGCAGAGGGAACUUGCUGCAGCAUACUCUCUGCCGGAAACGAGGACUAACUUACUUUCUAUUUCUCAGGAUAUAAUGUUAUGAUCAUAUAUGAGCUGCUUUCAUUCAUAAGUCUUUUUGUGGCUCUUCGGAUGCGCGACAGAGGAUCAGGCACACGGUGUCCCUUCAGGAGAGAAACAGCUAAAACAGGAAGAGCUGCGACAGGAAUACAAAUUAUACUUUUGAAAGAAAACGGUCCGAAAAGACGAAGAAUGAGUCAAUGUCCCGGUGAAGAGCUUUAAAGAAGCGAAGAGGAUUCAGUGUGUUCUGUGCCAGACUGCUGUCAACUUCCUGAGUUUUCAAAGACAUACGGAAAAGUGUGAUCUGCGACUAUUAACGCAGGGAUGACAGUCAAGCUGGACUUUGAGGAGUGUUUGAAAGACUCCCCUCGCUUCAGAGCUGAAAUUGAAGUGGUCCAAAACGAUGUGAGUGAACUCGAGACACGAUUGGAAAAGCUUGUGAAACAAUGCCAGGCGAUGCUGGAGGCAGGCAGAGUCUACUGCCAGACCAGCAAGAGCUUCGUCAACGGCCUCCGUGAGCUUGGACAGCAGUGCUCCGGGGAGAAGACGAUGGAGGAGUGUUUGGACAAAUUUUCCAAAAAGCUGUCUAUCAUCUUGGACGCACAGGGGGAAGUGAUUGAGACCACACAGAAGACGGUCAAGACAAAGCUGCAGAACUUUGUCAAAGAGGAUGUUCGUCGCUUUAAGGAGGUACGCAAGGAGUUUGAGCGCGGCAGUGAAUGCCUGGAGGCGGCGCUGGUGAGGAACGUUCAGGCUCCACGGGGGAAACCUCAUGAAGUGGAGGAGGCUAGCAACGCUCUGCUGAAUGCACGCAGGACCUUUAGGUCUGAGGCCCUGGAUUACGUCUUGGAGAUUAACGUCAUUGAGGCCAAGAAGAAGACAGACAUCCUGAUGGCAAUGUUGUCACUGAUGGAGGCCCAGGCUCAGCUCUUCCAACAUGGGCACCAGUCUCUCUCAGAAAUGGACGAGUAUAGACGAAAACUCAAUGAAGAGCACACUCAGUUUGUCCUCAACUCAGCCCGGGAGAAGAGGGACAUGGAGCAAAGACAUGCAGCAAUCAAGAAAAAGGAUGUGUCUUAUGAUGACUCCAUCAUGGAUUUCAAACCCGACGCAGCUAAUGGGAUCGCCAUGGAGGGAUACCUCUAUAAAAGAGCCAGCAACGCCUUCAAGACCUGGAGCAGGCGUUGGUUUUCCAUUCAAAAAAAUCAGCUGGUGUAUCAGAAGAAAUUCAAGGAGCAGCCUACAGCUGUGGUGGAGGACCUGCGUCUUUGCACGGUCAAGCCCAGCUCUGAAAACGAGAGGCGGUUCUGCUUUGAAGUGGUCUCCCCGUCAAAGAGUUGUUUGUUGCAGGCAGACUCGGAAAGGCAGCAGCAGGCGUGGAUCAGUGCCGUUCAAAACAGCAUCGCAUCGGCCUUUCAGGAGCACAGGGAGGACACACACAGCCCAAGACAGCGCUGCAGCUCAGUGUCAGCCAGCAAUUUGAUAGGAGGUGGGGGAGGAGGGGAACAGGAGAAUAAGGUCUGUAAGGCGCUGGAGGAGAUCCAGGCGAUCCCAGGGAACAAGCAGUGCUGCGACUGCGGAGAGCCCGGUCCUGAUUGGGCCUCCAUCAACCUGGGCAUCACGCUCUGCAUCGUGUGCUCAGGAAUACACAGGAGCCUGGGAGUCCAUUUUUCCAAAGUACGCUCCCUCACACUGGACUCCUGGGAGCCAGAGCUUAUUAAGUUGAUGUGUGAAUUAGGAAACUCGGUAAUCAACAGGAUCUACGAAGCCCGGAUUGAUGAGAUCACCAUCAAGAAGCCCCACCCCACCAGUCCCAGAGGAGACAAGGAGUCAUGGAUCCGGUCAAAGUACGUCGAAAAGAAGUUCAUCCAAAAGCUGCCCGAGACCGGCAGGACCGCCCUACAGAGGAGGAAUCGAGCGCUCACACAGGAGAGGAACACACAGCGGCCGCCGCUCAAACCCAAGCCGAACCGAGCCACGCUGCCUCGACUCCCAGCAAUGAGCCCCACUGACGUUGUCCAGAAGAACAAUACCAACAAAGAUGUGGAGGAGGAAGAGGAGGAUCUGAGCGGGCUGCACCCCGGGGCGCUGCUGUACCGCUCGGCAGCUCUGCAGAACUUCCCCGUCAUGGCGGACGCUCUGGCCCACGGAGCCGACGUCAACUGGGUCAACAUGGCCGAGGAGUCCAGCACGCCUCUGAUACAGGCCGUCUCAGCGAAUGCCCUGGCAGCCUGUGAGUUCCUGCUGCAGAACGGUGCCAACGUCAACCAGGCAGACAGCAACGGGAGAGGACCGCUGCACCACGCCACCAUCCUGGGUCACACCGGGUUGGUUUGUCUCUUCUUGAAGCGAGGAGCAGACUACAACGCCCGAGACAAGAAACAGAAAGACCCCAUAUCUAUCGCCGUGGACACCGCCAACGCUGACAUCGUCACUUUGCUGCGGAUCGCCAAAAUGAACAAGGAGAUGCGGGAGAUGGACGGAGCGUUUGGCCAAUCAGGUCACUCGGGGGGGCAUGGGUCCGGGGGUUCUGUUGGCCGGACAGGAGGGGGGCGGGCUCACACUAGAAAAAGCCUACAGGCGAUUAAGAACCACAUAAGUGGCUGGGCUCUGGGGGGGCAAAAUGAUUAGCAGGGAUAGGAAUCUGCCCGGUAGAAGAGACAGGACGUGGGACUGACAUCAGCUGUUUCUGAUUGUUAGGCUAAAAGGAAAAACACAUGUUUUUGUCCAGUUAUUAAGCAUCACACAUCGCUGGCUCUGCAGGGUCAUAGGGUUUUUAUCUGCAGCAUCUGCAGAGAAAUGAUGACAUAUCAUUAAAGACCACAUGCAUCAGAUAAUAAAAUAAUUGCUUUCAUUUAGAAAGCAUAAAAUCAAGUUCUUGUGAACCAGAGCACAGGGUACGAUAACAGACGUGUCCUAUCCGUACAUACAGGAGAGUGUCUCGUAAAACAGAAAGGGACCCUGGGAGGGAUGGGAGUACACAUCGCACUUUGAAAUACAAACGCACAUCAUCCUGCACUUUGAAAAGCCCUCACAGUACCUGAGUGCUGCAUAAACAACUUAAGAAAUGUAUAGACCUAUUUUAUCUGAUACUGUAUAUUUUAGAUGUCUUUUAAAUACAAUAUGUACAGCGUUCUGGUUUGUAUUGUGUAUAUUUAAAUUGGGCUUUUUUUUAUCAGUCCAGUUGUAUAAGCUACAUUUAUUUUUGGGUUUCUGAAGGACGGUUUGAAUCUGCUAUUCUGUGAAUAGUGACGCAGUUUGUGUCUAUCAUACUUUGAGAGCUCUGUGCUGCAGCUCUCUCUGUAAGCUUGAGGUUAACGGCGGGUUUGUUUGCAUUUUGUCAUGUGGCUCCUUUUCAAGCUGCAAAGUCAUUCUUUCAUGUCCUUUUUAAGUGGCUUUUUUGUUUCUUGUGUAAGCUGUAAUCAAUCCACUCGUGAAGGAAUGAAAAACGUGAUGCUUUUUUUUCGUGUGCUUGAAAACAAACUGCUGGUCAGUAUCUGACGUGCUUUAUCACUGUGUGUCUUUGUUGUGUGCACUCUUCUGCCCGCUGAGAUGCCCAGCUGGUCUCAAGUGCUUGUGCAGUGUGCCAUCUACUGCAAACUAAGAGGUGAUGAAACCUACCAGGAUAUAUUCAGGGACUUCUCACACAUGGCAUCGAACAACCCCGAGAAGCUCAAACGCCGCAGUGCGGAUCCCAAAUCCUAACCUGCCUGAACCACAUUUCAGACGAUCAUGCUUUCAUACACACAGAAAACAUGUAUCAUAGUAACUCGCAGGCAUGCAGACACACACAUUUCUCCUGGCUACCUGCCACAUGCUUAGUCAUAGCUCAGCUGGUGUUGACUUCAGAGGGGAUGAAAGCUCCGAACAGUGAAAUCUUUGUGUGAUCACGUCAGAGCAGAACAAUGUGGGAACACUGGAGCAGCUUAAUGAGAGCAGCAUGAGGUGUCUUUAUGUGAAGCAGAGGGACACGCCAUCACUCUGCCAAGAUUUCUUAAUUAAAUCUGGCAAAUCUUUUCUUUUCUUUAACUAAAAGGGCUUUUUUUAUGUUCCUCUGCCAAUUCUAGAGCGUUUUUACGUGGAAAAAGUGAAAGUGUUUGUCGGAAAAAUGGUUGCAAAUUGUAUCAUUUUCAUGUCAACUGUCUUCCAGGGAGUUGUAAUGUAUACAGAUUUUUACAUUUGGGAUAUUUUUCAGCACCUUCACUUGAGGUACUUGACUUUUUCUACAAUGAUCAAAUAAACUGCAAUACAAACAUUA